This 481-nucleotide ribosomal RNA is filed under the name uncultured bacterium. RNAcentral describes it as "bacterial SSU rRNA". It matches the Rfam family "Bacterial small subunit ribosomal RNA", at positions 28 to 526 of the family's 1533-position model. The record is from RNAcentral.
GACGAACGCUGGCGGCGUGCUUAACACAUGCAAGUCGAACGGAAAGGCCCUUCGGGGUGCUCGAGUGGCGAACGGGUGAGUAACACGUGGGUGAUCUGCCCUGCACUUUGGGAUAAGCCUGGGAAACUGGGUCUAAUACCGAAUAUGACUGCGCUCUUCAUGGGGUGUGGUGGAAAGCUUUUGCGGUGUGGGAUGGGCCCGCGGCCUAUCAGCUUGUUGGUGGGGUAAUGGCCUACCAAGGCGACGACGGGUAGCCGGCCUGAGAGGGUGACCGGCCACACUGGGACUGAGAUACGGCCCAGACUCCUACGGGAGGCAGCAGUGGGGAAUAUUGCACAAUGGGCGCAAGCCUGAUGCAGCGACGCCGCGUGAGGGAUGACGGCCUUCGGGUUGUAAACCUCUUUCAGCACAGACGAAGCGCAAGUGACGGUAUGUGCAGAAGAAGGACCGGCCAACUACGUGCCAGCCGCCGCCGUAACAC